RNAcentral lists this ribosomal RNA (255 nucleotides) under uncultured bacterium. RNAcentral's name for it is "partial 16S ribosomal RNA". It matches the Rfam family "Bacterial small subunit ribosomal RNA", at positions 524 to 776 of the family's 1533-position model. The record is from RNAcentral.
UACGGGGGGAGCAAGUGUUGUUCGGAUUUACUGGGCGUAAAGGGCGCGUAGGCGGCCACCGCAAGUCGACUGUGAAAUCUCCGGGCUUAACCCGGAAAGGUCAGCCGAUACUGCGGGGCUAGAGUGCAGAAGGGGCAACUGGAAUUCUCGGUGUAGCGGUGAAAUGCGUAGAUAUCGAGAGGAACACCUGCGGCGAAGGCGGGUUGCUGGGCUGACACUGACCGCUGAGGCGCGAAAGCUAGGGGAGCGAACGGG